This 498-nucleotide ribosomal RNA is filed under the name uncultured bacterium. RNAcentral describes it as "bacterial SSU rRNA". It matches the Rfam family "Bacterial small subunit ribosomal RNA", at positions 28 to 507 of the family's 1533-position model. The record is from RNAcentral.
GGCUAACGCUGGCGGCGUGUCUUAGCCAUGCAAGUCGAGCGGACUUAUGGGGUAACUUAUAAGUCAGCGGCGGACGGCGGAGUAACACGUAGCUAACCUACCCUCUGGACGGGGAUAACCUACCGAAAGGUGGGCUAAUACCCGAUGUAGUCAUCCUGUAUAGGGGUGAUGAAAGGUGGGCUUCUGUUUACAAGCUCAUGCUGGAGGAGGAGCCUGCGUCCUAUCAGCUUGUUGGCAGGGUAAUGGCCUACCAAGGCUAUGACGGGUAGCCGGCCUGAGAGGGUGUCCGGCCACACUGGAACUGAGACACGGUCCAGACUCCUACGGGAGGCAGCAGUGGGGAAUUUUGCGCAAUGGGGGAAACCCUGACGCAGCGACGCCGCGUGGAGGAUGACGGCCUUCGGGGUGUAAACUGCUGUCGUGUAGGGAGAAGGGUACUAAGGUGAACAAUCUUAGUACUUGACGGUACUACAGGAGGAAGCCCAGGCUAACCUCGUG